Molecule: long non-coding RNA, 1657 nt
Organism: Ursus maritimus (polar bear)
Lineage: Eukaryota; Metazoa; Chordata; Mammalia; Carnivora; Ursidae
Source: Ensembl
CAAAGCAAACACUCUUAGCUUGGAGAACAGGAAUAGACCUUGAAUGCAGGCAAGGGAGUUUUUCUUCGGGUUCCCUGUCCCCCCUCUCCGGGAACUCUUUCUGACAGAUCCCUCCUGGGCCCACUUCAGCGCUCCUGUGAAACACUCCCCGAGCAGUGCCAAUCACCCUUACCGUCUUCCUGGACCAUUUUUGUCUUUCUAUCUAGACUGCAUUUAUAUUUUGCCCACCGUUACAGCCUCAGGGGUCUUGCAGAGUCAUUGGAAAAUGUCGGGAGCAGCACUAACAGGAAGCCACAGGACCAGUCGCCCCGGGAAGGCCUGAGUGCGGAGACAGCCGGGAGCAGACGCAAUGAAAUGAAGCAUCACUCUGGUGAUAGAAACACCCAAGGCUCCAGGGACCACCAUUUUGUCUUGAGAGGAAAACCAGCUUCCUCCUUCAGCACAGAGGGGUCUCACAACUCCAACUACCACCACUGGCUUGAAUGUUUCAAAUCAAAACAUUCCCCAAACCACAGCCCUCGGGUGAGAUGCAGGUCUGGCCAAGACUUUGGAGGAAAAACAAGCCCCCACCAGCCUGGAAACCACUGGGUACACAGGAGGCUGGGUCACCUUGCUCACCAAAGCUGGGAGCCUGAGCAUUUUUACCAGUUAAUCUGAUAAAGCCGCCUUUCCUACCAAUGCCUGCCUCUACUUCCCCUCUGUCCCAGGAAAUAAGACCAUUCCCAGGACAGAGGGCCUCGGGGAGCAGGGUACAGGGCACAGAGUAGGACAGCCUAGGGCACCUGGAGGACCGGGGCUACUCCCUUGUUAACUGGAAAAAAAAAAAAAGGAGGCUUUUAUAAUGUUCCCAGCACUGCAUUCGAAUUAGGAAGCAGCAGAGCAGUGCCAGGCCUCUGCUCAGACCCCACUGGGUCCACUGAGCAACUCGCAGAAUGUGACGGGCGGUGGCGACUGCAGGGAAGCCAGCCCCCGUCCACCCUGGGAAAGCCAGGGUCUCAGACGUUUCGGCUCCUGGGGCCCCCAGCCGCAGCCCAGCCCCGCCUCUGCAAAGGAGAUCUGGGAGGUCCUAGUGGACCCUCGCAGCCAGCAGUGCUAUCGGCAGGUGUUGUUUUCUGGGAAAGGGUGGCUUCAUCACGUGCUUGGAAAUCUAAGUCUCAGACACCAAGAAAGUAUUCGCGGGCAAGAUCUUGGCUAUGUCGCUGCUACUCAAGCUGUAUCAGAAGAAGGAGAAGGCGCCCAUGGAGAUGCGCACUCAUCGCAGCCUCGCCCACCAACACACCAUGGGCUUCCGUGGCAUUUUCAAGUACAAGGACUUGGUGUCGGAGCCCUGCUGCUGGAGAUCUCAGGGGAGGAAAGCACUGACCGAGCCUGAGGCCGCUAUUACCUCUUUGGAUGCCAGCACCUGCACUAAAACUGGGUUCAUCACUGGGACCUCAAGCUGGGCUAACUCUUACUCGGUUAGGAUCUGGAGGCGAAACUAGGGGAUUCUGAUGGGCAACCAAAGUCAAGUAAGACAAGGAGAGGAAGAAGCCCCUGGGCGGGACCCCUAAUAACAUAGCUCCGGAGCUGCUGAGCAAGAGGGCACGGUUUGGAAGUGGACAUGUCGUCCCUUGGGUGAGUCACAUAUUCCUUGUCAGUGGGCAAAGCACCUUUUGAG